AGCCUUCUGAGGCAGAAAAGUCUCUUGUGAUACUCUCUAUCUCCAUUAAACUACUCAGAAAAAGCCAGAAGUAGUGCUGUGGCUCAAAGUGGUAGAGUGCUAGGUCUUGAGCACAAAUGAAACUCAGGGACAGUGCCCAGGCCCUGAGUUCAAGGCCCGGG
Molecule: long non-coding RNA, 161 nt
Organism: Perognathus longimembris pacificus (Pacific pocket mouse)
Lineage: Eukaryota; Metazoa; Chordata; Mammalia; Rodentia; Heteromyidae
Exons: 3
Source: RefSeq, a predicted model, not a curated record